Molecule: long non-coding RNA, 4757 nt
Filed under: Lathyrus oleraceus (garden pea)
Lineage: Eukaryota; Viridiplantae; Streptophyta; Magnoliopsida; Fabales; Fabaceae
Description: Pisum sativum (pea) long non-coding RNA (PSAT_LNC040027)
Source: RNAcentral
AACAUCAACAUUUUCAUCAUUCCCACAAUUCAAUCAAAAUUCAUGUGUUUAAUAACAACAUUUCCAUUAUUCCCACAAUUCAAUCAAAUUUCAUGGGUUUAAAUUCAUGUGUUUAAUAACAACAUUUCCAUUAUUCCCACAAUUCAAUCAAAUUUCAUGGGUUUAACAACAACAUUUUCAUUUUUCACACAAUUCAAUCAAAUUUCUUGGGUUUAACAUCAACAUUUCGUCAUUUCCACCAUUCAAUCAAAUUUCAUAGGUUUAACAACAACAUUUUCAUCAUUCACAUAAUUCAUUCAAAUUUCAUGGGUUUAACAUUAUCACUUUCAUCAUUCACACAGUUCAAUCAAAUGUCAUGGGUUUAACAUCAACAUUUCAUCGUUUCCACAAUUCAAUCAAAUUUCAUAGGUUUAACAACAACAUUUUCAAUAUUCACACAAUUCAAUCAAAUUUCAUAGGUUUAACAACAACCUUUUCAUCAUUCCCAUAAUUUAAUCAAAUUUCAUCGGUUUAACAUCAACAUUUUCAUCGUUCACACAAUUCAAUUAGAUUUUAAGGGUUUAACAAAAUAAUUUUUAUUAUUCAUAUAUUUCAAUCAAAUUUCAGGGUUUUAACAACAAUAUUUUCAUUUAAUCACACAAUUCAAUCAAAUUUUAUGGGUUUAACAUCAUCAUUUUCAUCAUUCCCACAAUUCAAUCAAAUUUCCUGUUUUUAACGUCAUCACUUUUAUCAUUCACACAAUUCAAUCGAAUUUCAUGGGUUUAACAUCAACAUUUCAUCAUUUCAACAAUUCAAUCAAAUUUCAUAGGUUUAACAACAACAUUUUCAUCAUUUACACAAUUCAAUAAAAUUUUAUAGGUUUAACAACAACAUUUUCAUCAUCCCCAUAAUUCAACCAAAUUUCAUGGGUUAAACAACAACAUUUUCAUCAAUCCCACAAUGCAAUCAAAUUUCAUGGGUUUAACAUCAACAUUUUCAUCAUUCCCACAAUUCAAUCAAAUUUCAUGGGUUUAACAACAACAUUUCUAUCAUUCACACAACUCAAUCAAAUUUUAGGGGUUUAACAACAACAUUUUCAUCAUUCCCACAAUACAAUCAAAUUUCAUGGGUUUAACAUCAUCAUUUUCAUCAUUCACACAGUUCAAUCAAAUUUCAUGGGUUUAACAUCAACAUUUCAUCAUUUCGACAAUUCAAUCAAAUUUCAUAGGUUUAACAACAACAUUUUCANNNNNNNNNNNNNNNNNAUCCAACAAUUCAAUCAAAUUCAUGGGUUUAACACAACAUUUCAUCAUUUCACAUUCAAUCAAUUUCAAGGCUUUACAACAACAUUUUUCAUUCACAAAUUCAAUAAAAUUUCAUAGGUUUAACAACAACACUUUCAUCAUUCCCAUAAUUCAAUCAAAGUUCAUGGUUUAACAUCAUCGGUUUCGUCAUUCACACAGUUCAAUCAAAUUCAGGGUUUAACAUCAACAUUUCAUCAAUUCCACAUUCAAUCAAUAUGUUCAUAGGUUAACAACAACAUUUUCAAUCAUUUACAACAAUUCAAUCAAAUUUAUAAGGUUUAACAACAACAUUUCAUCAUCCCAUAAUUCAACAAAGUUCAUGGGUUUAAUUACAACAAUAAGCAUUCCCAAAUUCGAUCAAUCAUUUAACAUCACAUUUCAUAUUCCAAAUCAACAAUUCAUGGGUUUAACAAAACAUUUCUUAAUAUUCCCACAAUUCAAUCAAAUAUUAGGAUUAACAAAACAACACAUUUUCCAUAUUCCCUAUCAUACAUUUUCAUUCCAAUUAAUAAAUUUCAUGGUUUAACAUCACGAUUUUCAUCAUUCCUCCAAUUCAUCAAAAUUCAUUGUUUAAUAACAACAUUUCCAUUAUUCCGCACAAUCAAUCAAUCAUCGGGUUUAACAACACAUUUUCAUUUUUCACACAAUUCAUCAAUAUUGCUUGGGUUUAACAUCAACAUUUCAUCAUUUCCACCAUUCAAUCAUUCAGUAGGUUUAACAACAACAUUUUCAUCACUUCCACAAUUCAUUCCAAAUUUCAUGGGGUUUAACAUUAUCAAUUUUCUCAUUCACACAGUUCAAUCAAUUUUCAUGGUUUAACAUCAACAUUUCCUCAUUUCCACAAUUCAAUAAAUUUUCAUAGGUUUAAAAACAACAUUUUCAUCUUACACAAUUCAAUCAAAAUUUCAUAGGUUUAAAACAGCCUUUCAUCAUUCCCAUAAGUCAAUCAAAUUUCAUCGGGGUUUUAACAUCGAACCUUUUCAUACGUUCACACAUUUCAAUUGAUUUUAAGGGUUUAACAAGAAUAAUUUUUAUUCACAUAUAGUUCAAUCAAUUUCAUGGGUUUACAAUAUUUUCAUUUUAAUCAACUUCCCACAAUUCAACAAAUUUCACCUGGGGUUUAACAUCAUCAUUUUGCAUCCCUCAAAAAUUCUAUAACAUUCAUUCAUAAUUCAAUUCAAAAUUCAUGUGUUUAAUAACAACAUUUCCAUUAUUCCGCUCAAUUCAAUCAAAUUUCAUGGUUUAACAACAACAUUUUCAUUUUUCACACAAUUCAAUCAAAUUUCUUGGUUUAACAUCAACUUUUCAUCAUUUCCACCAUUCAAUCAAAUUAUCGGUUUAACAACAACAUUUUCAUCAUCCCACAAUUCAUUCAAUUUCAUGGGUUUAACAUUAUCAUUUUCAUCAUUCACCAGUUCAAUCAAAUUUUAUGGGUUUAACAUCAACAUUUCAUCAUUUCCACAAUUCAAUCAAUUUUCAUAGGUUUAACAACAAACAUUUUCAUCAUUCACACAAUUCAAUCAAAUUUCAGUUUAACAACAGCACUUUCAUCAUUCCCUUAAGUCAAUCAAUUUCAUCGGUUAACAUCGACAUUUGAUCAUCACACUUUCAAUUAGAUUUUAAGGGUUACAAAAUAUUUUUAUCAUUCAUAAUCAAUAAAAUUUCAUGGUUACACAACAUUUUUCAUCAUUUCAUCAUCAUAUUAUCGCUACACACCACAUAUGCAAAUCACCCAAUUUCAUGGAUUUUAAAUCAUCACAAUUUUCAUCAUUCCACAAUUCAAUCAAACUUUCAUGGGUUUAACAUCCACAUUUUCAUAUUUCCCACAUCAAUCAAAUUCAUAUGGUUUAAAAAACAUUUCCAUAUUCCCAUUCAAUCAAAUUCAUGGGUAUUAAUCACAACAUUUUCAUCUUCUCACACAAUUCCAAUCAAAUUCUUGGCGUUACACCAUCAACAUGUCUUCCAUAUCCAACACUCAAUCAAAUUUCGAUGUUUAAACAAACCAACAUUUUCUAUCAUUCCCAACAAUUCACCAUCAAUUUUAGGUUUAAAAACAACAUCUAUCAUUCUCCCACAACCUUCAAUAAAGUCAUGGGUUUUAACAUCAACAUUUCAUCUAUUUCCACAAUCAAUCAUAAUUUCAAGGUUAACAACAACAUAUUUAUCAUUCACACAAUUCAUCAAAUUUCAUGGUUAACAUUAUACACUUUUCAUCAUCUCAUGAAGUUCAAUCAAAUUUCUGCGUUAACAUCAUCAUUUCAUCAUCUUUCAACAGACUGCAAUCAAAUUUUCAUAGGUUUACACAACAUUUUCAUCAAUACCAAUUCAAUCAAAUUUCAAGGUCUUAACAACAAGCACUUUCAACAUGUUACAUUAAUUCAAUCAAAUUUAUUAGGUUUCAAACAUAAUUUCAUAUUCCAUCAAUUCAACAUAGGAUUUAUGGUUUACACAAUAAUUUUUAUAUGACCACGAUAUUCCAUCAAUUUCAUGGUUUAACAACACAUAUUUUCAUAUCCCACAAUUCAAUCAAAUUUCUGGGUUUAACAAAAACAUUUCUAUCAUCACAUAUUCAAUCAAAUUUUAGGGGUUAAAAUAACAUUUUCAUCAUUCCCACAACUUGAAUAAAAUUUCAUGGUUUAACAUCCACAUUUCAUCAUUCAUAAUUCAAUCAAAUCAUGGGUUUAAUAACAACAUUUCAUUAUUCGGACAUUCAAAUCCAAAUUCAUGGUCUACACACAUUUCAUUUUUCAACACAAGUUCAAUCAAAUUUGUGUGUGUCGUAGCGUGAUCGUUGUCUGCUGCAUGUGCUGAUCUGGAUUUCAUGUUGGGGUGUGAUACUGUACGUUUAUUCUUCCCACAAUUCAUUCAAUGCAGGGUUAACUUAUCUCAUCAUCACACCGGUUCAACAAUUUAGUGGAGGUACAUCAAGAUUUCAUCAUUUCCACAAUUCAAUCGAUUCAUAGUUUAAUCUAUGCGUGUGUAUCUAUCUAUAUCAAUUUCAUGGUUUAACAAAACGAGCACUUAUCAUUCCUUAAGCAAUCAAAUUUCACGUUACAUCGCCUUUCGUGUGUGUGUCUGAUGUGAUAAUAUGUGUGUUUAACAAAUAUUUUUAUCAUUCAUAUAUCAAUCAAAAUUUCAUGUUUUAACACAAUAUUUUACAUUUAAUCACACAAUUCAAUCAAUUCUUGGGUUUAAACAUCAACUUACAUCAUCUUCCACCAUUCAAUCAAUUUCAUUAGGUUUAACAACAAUCAUCAUUCCCCAAUUCAUUCAAUUCAUGGCGUUUUUACAAUUAUCAUUUUCAUCAUCACACAGUUCAAUCAAAUCUUAUGGGUUAACAUAACUUCAUACAUUUCAUCAUUUCCACCAUUCAAUCAAUUUCAUAGAUUUAACAACAACAUUUUCAUCAUUCCCACAAUUCAAUCAAAAUUCAUGGGUUUAACAUCAUCAUUUUCAUCAUUCACACAGUUCAAU